GAUGAACGCUGGCGGCGUGCCUAAUACAUGCAAGUAGAACGCUGAAGGAGGAGCUUGCUCUUCUGGAUGAGUUGCGAACGGGUGAGUAACGCGUAGGUAACCUGCCUGGUAGCGGGGGAUAACUAUUGGAAACGAUAGCUAAUACCGCAUGACAACAGUUAUUGCAUGAUAACUGUUUAAAAGGGGCAACUGCUCCACUACCAGAUGGACCUGCGUUGUAUUAGCUAGUUGGUGAGGUAACGGCUCACCAAGGCGACGAUACAUAGCCGACCUGAGAGGGUGAUCGGCCACACUGGGACUGAGACACGGCCCAGACGCCUACGGGAGGCAGCAGUAGGGAAUCUUCGGCAAUGGACGGAAGUCUGACCGAGCAACGCCGCGUGAGUGAAGAAGGGUUUCGGAUCGUAAAGCUCUGUUGUAAGAGAAGAACGAGUGUGAGAGUGGAAAGUUCACACUGUGACGGUAGCUUACCAGAAAGGGACGGCUAACUACGUG
RNAcentral lists this ribosomal RNA (495 nucleotides) under uncultured bacterium. RNAcentral's name for it is "partial 16S ribosomal RNA". It matches the Rfam family "Bacterial small subunit ribosomal RNA", at positions 28 to 507 of the family's 1533-position model. The record is from RNAcentral.